GCCAAAAUAGCUCAGCGGUAGAGCAGCUCACUCGUAAUGAGCAGGUCAAGGGUUCAAUUCCCUUUUUUGGCUCAA
This 75-nucleotide transfer RNA is filed under the name Sphaerochaeta halotolerans. RNAcentral describes it as "tRNA-Thr". It matches the Rfam family "tRNA". Rfam says of the family: Transfer RNA (tRNA) molecules are approximately 80 nucleotides in length. Their secondary structure includes four short double-helical elements and three loops (D, anti-codon, and T loops). Lineage: Bacteria; Pseudomonadati; Spirochaetota; Spirochaetia; Spirochaetales; Sphaerochaetaceae. The record is from RNAcentral.